AACAAGGCGUACCUGCGGACCUGCGGAAGGAUCAUUAAUAAAUGUUACUUCGGUAACUUAAUUAAUCCCUAACACCUGUGCAUCUUGUCGCUCCGGCGUCAUUUUAUAAACAUCAGUGUAAUGAAUGUAAAGUAUUAUAACAAAUACAACUUUUAACAACGGAUCU
This 166-nucleotide unclassified non-coding RNA is filed under the name soil metagenome. RNAcentral's name for it is "partial contains 5.8S ribosomal RNA, internal transcribed spacer 2, and large subunit ribosomal RNA". The record is from RNAcentral.